AUUCCGUAGGUGAACCUGCGGAAGGAUCAUUCAUAAUAAGUGUUUUAUGGCACUUUUUUAAAUCCAUAUCCACCUUGUGUGCAAUGUCAGGGUUGAUUUUUCUCUCGAGAGGAUCAACCCCAAACAUCAACUAUAUCUCAACUCUUUGUCUGAAAAAUAUUAUGAAUAAAACAAUUCAAAAUACAACUUUCAACAACGGAUCUCUUGGCUCUC
This 213-nucleotide unclassified non-coding RNA is filed under the name plant metagenome. RNAcentral describes it as "partial contains small subunit ribosomal RNA, internal transcribed spacer 1, and 5.8S ribosomal RNA". The record is from RNAcentral.